GAUGGACGCUGGCGGCGUGCCUAAUACAUGCCAGUCGAGCGAACGGACGAGAAGCUUGCUUCUCUGAUGUUAGCGGCGGACGGGUGAGUAACACGUGGAUAACCUACCUAUAAGACUGGGAUAACUUCGGGAAACCGUAGCUAAUACCGGAUAAUAUUUUGAACCGCAUGGUUCAAAAGUGAAAGACGGUCUUGCUGUCACUUAUAGAUGGAUCCGCGCUGCAUUAGCUAGUUGGUAAGGUAACGGCUUACCAAGGCAACGAUGCAUAGCCGACCUGAGAGGGUGAUCGGCCAGACGGGAAGGGAGACACGGUCCAGAAACCUACGGGAGGCAGCAGUAGGGAAUCUUCCGCAAUGGGCGAAAGCAUGACGGAACAACGCCGCGUGAGUGAUGAAGGUCUUCGGAUCGUAAAACUCUGUUAUUAGGGAAGAACAUAUGUGUAAGUAAAUGUGCACAUCUUGACGGUAACUAAUCAGAAAGCCACGGCUAACUACGUG
RNAcentral lists this ribosomal RNA (497 nucleotides) under uncultured bacterium. RNAcentral's name for it is "partial 16S ribosomal RNA". It matches the Rfam family "Bacterial small subunit ribosomal RNA", at positions 28 to 507 of the family's 1533-position model. The record is from RNAcentral.